ACCCUCUCAGGGUCGCAUCUGGAGAGUUUCCAGUCCUCUACCAGUCUCGACUACAGGAGGGAGAGUGGAGCAGAGGCCUACCUAUUCCAUUCCUACUUGGCCAGGGGCUAGUGAGUGGAAGGCCAUCUGCCAAAAGU
This 137-nucleotide small nucleolar RNA is filed under the name Ornithorhynchus anatinus (platypus). Lineage: Eukaryota; Metazoa; Chordata; Mammalia; Monotremata; Ornithorhynchidae. The record is from RNAcentral.